RNAcentral lists this long non-coding RNA (657 nucleotides) under Pongo abelii (Sumatran orangutan). RNAcentral's name for it is "lincRNA". Lineage: Eukaryota; Metazoa; Chordata; Mammalia; Primates; Hominidae. The record is from RNAcentral.
GAAAGAAAUCAUGUGAGCUUGAGAAGGAAUCAGAUUCUGCAUAUAUUUCCAAGUUAACAUGAACAAGAUUUUCUGAAAGACUGCUAUGGAGUCUGAGAAAAAAGUGUCAAAGGUAGUGCCAAAAUUGUCACUUAAAGAACUGCAGGAAUGGAGUUGGCAUUUACAGAAUUUAGAAGAGAAGCAGGUUUAGUGAUAAAGACCAGAAGCACAGAGCUAAGCAUAUUAAAUAUUGAGGACAUGAGGAGGAAAGAACUGACAGAGGAGAUGAAGAAAGGUGAUCAGGAAGAGCCAUCAAAGUGUUAUCCUGGAAUUCAAGUGAAGACAGUGUUUCAAAGUGGAAAUGAACAGUGUCCUGUAACCCUCAGGUGAGACUAGAGUCAGAAUGCAGGCUUUUCUCAUUUGAAAUCUAUUGAAUAAACAUCAGUAAAAGAAGCAAUCCAAGUUCUCAUGCCAAAUAUGUAUAUGUCCAAGACCAGGAUUUCUUCAUGUCUGAAUGUGGAUAUGGAGCCUAGAGUACUAGCAAGGUAAGUCCAGGUCCUUACCUCCACCUAAAAGUUCUGCCACCAAGGGACAUCUGCUCAUUAUCUUCUGUCCACACAUCAAAUGACUUCAAUGUGACCCCUGGAUGUUCUCCAAAGAGCUGAAAGGAAAUAAAUA